ACGAGUUUGAAAUUUGAUGUAAUCCGCGUUCGGCGGAGUUAAUUUGAAAUACGGGCGAAAUGAAUUCUAAGAUUGAAAUCGAGCUUCUGAGUAAAUAUAGGAAACGACCUUUUGUCGUUUUCCUUGUUUCUGAAAACAGCGCAAUUGACAUCUCUCUCUCUCUCUCUCUCUCUCUCUUCUUUUUUUAACUAUUAAUCACAUAUAAUCC
RNAcentral lists this long non-coding RNA (208 nucleotides) under Fragaria vesca (wild strawberry). RNAcentral's name for it is "long non-coding RNA (FVES_LNC000004)". Lineage: Eukaryota; Viridiplantae; Streptophyta; Magnoliopsida; Rosales; Rosaceae. The record is from RNAcentral.